RNAcentral lists this ribosomal RNA (466 nucleotides) under uncultured bacterium. RNAcentral describes it as "partial 16S ribosomal RNA". It matches the Rfam family "Bacterial small subunit ribosomal RNA", at positions 28 to 507 of the family's 1533-position model. The record is from RNAcentral.
GAUGAACGCUGGCGGCGUGCUUAACACAUGCAAGUCGAACGGAAAGGCCCAAGCUUGCUUGGGUCCUCGAGUGGCGAACGGGUGAGUAACACGUGGGUGAUCUGCCCUGCACUUCGGGAUAAGCCUGGGAAACUGGGUCUAAUACCGGAUAGGACCACAUUUUGGAUGGUGUGGUGGAAAGUUUUUCGGUGUGGGAUGAGCUCGCGGCCUAUCAGCUUGUUGGUGGGGUAAUGGCCUACCAAGGCGUCGACGGGUAGCCGGCCUGGGAGGGUGUACGGGCACAAUGGGACUGAGAUAAGGCCCAGACUCCGACGGGAGGCAGCAGGGGGGAAUAUUGCACAAUGGGCGCAAGCCUGAUGCAGCGAGGCCGCGGGGGGGAUGACGGACUUCGGGUUGUAAACACCUUUCGCUAGGGACGAAGCGUUAUGUGACGGUACCUGGAGAAGAAGCACCGGCUAACUACGUG